AGUGAACGCUGGCGGCAGGCCUAAUACAUGCAAGUCGAACGGCAGCACAGCAGAGCUUGCUCUGUGGGUGGCGAGUGGCGGACGGGUGAGGAAUACAUGGGAAUCUGCCCAGUCGUGGGGGAUAACGUAUGGAAACGUACGCUAAUACCGCAUGCGCCCUACGGGGGAAAGCCGGGGACCGCAAGGCCUGGCGCGAUUGGAUGAGCCCAUGUUCGAUUAGCUAGUUGGCGGGGUAAAGGCCCACCAAGGCGACGAUCGAUAGCUGGUCUGAGAGGAUGAUCAGCCACACUGGAACUGAGACACGGUCCAGACUCCUACGGGAGGCAGCAGUAGGGAAUAUUGGACAAUGGGCGCAAGCCUGAUCCAGCCAUGCCGCGUGAGUGAAGAAGGCCCUCGGGUUGUAAAGCUCUUUUGUCCGGAAAGAAAGCAUCUGGUUAAUACCCGGGUGUUCUGACGGUACCGGAAGAAUAAGCACCGGCUAACUUCGUG
Molecule: ribosomal RNA, 489 nt
Filed under: uncultured bacterium
Lineage: Bacteria
Description: bacterial SSU rRNA
Rfam family: Bacterial small subunit ribosomal RNA
Source: RNAcentral